GCCGGAGUGGCGAAAUUGGUAGACGCGCCAGAUUUAGGUUCUGGUGGGGCAACCCGUGCAGGUUCGAGUCCUGUCUCCGGUA
This 82-nucleotide transfer RNA is filed under the name Verrucomicrobiales bacterium. RNAcentral's name for it is "tRNA-Leu". It matches the Rfam family "tRNA". Rfam says of the family: Transfer RNA (tRNA) molecules are approximately 80 nucleotides in length. Their secondary structure includes four short double-helical elements and three loops (D, anti-codon, and T loops). The record is from RNAcentral. Lineage: Bacteria; Pseudomonadati; Verrucomicrobiota; Verrucomicrobiia; Verrucomicrobiales.